GAUGAACGCUGGCGGCGUGCCUAAUACAUGCAAGUCGAGCGAACAGACGAGGAGCUUGCUCCUCUGACGUUAGCGGCGGACGGGUGAGUAACACGUGGAUAACCUACCUAUAAGACUGGGAUAACUUCGGGAAACCGGAGCUAAUACCGGAUAAUAUAUUGAACCGCAUGGUUCAAUAGUGAAAGACGGUUUUGCUGUCACUUAUAGAUGGAUCCGCGCCGCAUUAGCUAGUUGGUAAGGUAACGGCUUACCAAGGCAACGAUGCGUAGCCGACCUGAGAGGGUGAUCAGCCACACUGGAACUGAGACACGGUCCAGACUCCUACGGGAGGCAGCAGUAGGGAAUCUUCCGCAAUGGGCGAAAGCUUGACGGAGCAACGCCGCGUGAGUGAUGAAGGUCUUCGGAUCGUAAAACUCUGUUAUUAGGGAAGAACAUAUGUGUAAGUAACUAUGCACGUCUUGACGGUACCUAAUCAGAAAGCCACGGCUAACUACGUG
RNAcentral lists this ribosomal RNA (497 nucleotides) under uncultured bacterium. Its description in RNAcentral is "partial 16S ribosomal RNA". It matches the Rfam family "Bacterial small subunit ribosomal RNA", at positions 28 to 507 of the family's 1533-position model. The record is from RNAcentral.